RNAcentral lists this transfer RNA (75 nucleotides) under Cellulosimicrobium cellulans. RNAcentral describes it as "tRNA-Arg". It matches the Rfam family "tRNA". Rfam says of the family: Transfer RNA (tRNA) molecules are approximately 80 nucleotides in length. Lineage: Bacteria; Bacillati; Actinomycetota; Actinomycetes; Micrococcales; Promicromonosporaceae. The record is from RNAcentral.
GCCUUCGUGGUCCAACGGACACGACGCCGCUCUACGGAAGCGGAGACGGGGGUUCGACUCCCUCCGAGGGCGCCU